Molecule: ribosomal RNA, 473 nt
Filed under: uncultured bacterium
Lineage: Bacteria
Description: SSU rRNA
Rfam family: Bacterial small subunit ribosomal RNA
Source: RNAcentral
AGGAUAAACGCUGGCGGCGUGCAUGAGACAUGCAAGUCGAACGGACGAUCAGGGCUUGCUCUGAUCGUUAGUGGCGGACGGCUGAGUAACGCGUAGGUGACCUGCCCCGAAGUGGGGAAUAACUGCCCGAAAGGGUGGCUAAUACCGCAUGUGGUGGUGUGUUCAUUCACACCAGUAAAGCCGCAAGGCGCUUCGGGAGGGGCCUGCGUCCGAUUAGCUCGUUGGUGGGGUAACGGCUCACCAAGGCGACGAUCGGUAGGUGGUCUGAGAGGACGAUCACCCAGACUGGGACUGAGACACGGCCCAGACUCCUACGGGAGGCAGCAGUCGGGAAUUUUGCGCAAUGGACGAAAGUCUGACGCAGCAACGCCGCGUGAGGGAUGAAGGCCUUCGGGUUGUAAACCUCUUUUAUCAGGGAAGAUAAUGACGGUACCUGAUGAAUAAGUCACGGCUAACUACGUGCCAGCAGCCGC